RNAcentral lists this ribosomal RNA (8245 nucleotides) under Triticum aestivum (bread wheat). RNAcentral describes it as "partial small subunit ribosomal RNA". Lineage: Eukaryota; Viridiplantae; Streptophyta; Magnoliopsida; Poales; Poaceae. The record is from RNAcentral.
AACUUCAUCUAGAUGGUAACGAAGUCAACUAACCCGACCUAUCUCAAUUGAGCUCCAGGGACGGGUCCCAGAUAUAUUUAGGGUAGAGGGUAUAGAGGGGACGCGGAUGUGUGUAAAGUAGGGAGAGAUGAGGUUAUGAGGCCGGUACAGAGACGUGUAGGUGGUCGAGACGUAGACGAUCGUUUUUUUCAUUCGAGGUGUUUUCUUCUCUUUUGCUGGUGAGACGUAAGGAGGCAGCUUCGAGCAGCGGAACCACCGUCCUCCACUGAAUAAUUGACGUAGACGUAGUGGUACCUGAAGCGGCACCUGCGCCGCGACACCCACCAACCGUUUCGCGACCGUGGGCAGUGCCUGCCGGACGACCUCAGUACACGCCGGUCGUGGCUCGAACCGGCGUUGUAGCUGCGGGAGUUCUACGUUGAGGAGAUGCGUGUUCCCUACGAGCUGUUGCGCGUCCCAUCCCUGUAGGCGUCGGGACGCGAGUUCCUCGAAGACGUGUUCGACGCCCUCGACCGCAUGACACGGCUGCUGCGCGAGCUACUCGAGCUGAUGAAGGCGUAGGUCCUGCGUGAACUGCCGUGUAUGGUACGGCGGUUAAACCUAAGGGUCUCGACGCAACUGUCCUAGCGGUAGUUACGAGUGGUGUGGCGGUUCCGACGCCGGUUAUUAGAGUUCACGAGUAGUAGGAGAUGGGCCCGACUAGGGCUGCUAGUCCUUCUACCACCGUUUGCUCCUACGGAGAGACAGCAACCGAGCACACCCCUCGUACUCUAGUCGAGGAGUGCUGGCGGUGGGUGGUGGGUCCCUCAGGUCCUCCAACUACCGCCUACGUACGGAUUACAGCAGAGAACACGAGCGUGGCGACGUGUUUGAUAGCCAUUUGUGAAAGGCACGAUGAGAAAGGGCAGACAGACGCUACUACUACGCCUGUGGCAGUACCACUUUAGGAGGUUAUACUGUCCCUCACCUGUAGUUAUACACGAUGUUCCUCUAGUGCGGUACGUUUGUGCUUUUGACUUCAAACUAGCCCAGCAUUAAAGAUGUUUUUAUGACCUUUAUUAUCUCGUCAACUUUGAAGACACACGAUACCAGAGGUGGUAAGAGUUAGAUCUUGAUGAACCGAGGUGUGCAUAGGGGGGACGGGUUCUGUAAUGAUACUUGGCUGGGUUUUGGUGGGGUUUAUAAUAUCUCGGACUCAACAUACCCUCCUUACUGGUCUUUUUCCUUUAGUAACUACUGUAAUGUUUACCAUUUAUAACAUGGUUACUUGAAUGGCAUCAAGGUGAACAACCAGGUCCUCCAUAACCCUUCUGUUGUGAGUGCGUUGUGUAUAAACGUCUUGACCUCCCAAGAAAGGUUCAAAGUCAAACCUAUACACAUAGAGAUCUAAAAUUACGUCUAUCCAACUGCGUUCUCUAACACUUUUUCUAGGGACUUCACUUACUACUUUUCCGAUUACGAUGGUUAGUUGUCGAUUAACAUGUUUCUAAUUUUAGAUUCGCCGAAAAUGAACAAAAUCUACUACACACCUGUAUGGUGCUCCUACUCACCUUUUUUAAUAAUCGAGGUAAUUCAGUAUGCCCCCCUCUUUUCCCAUUACACCAAUAUCAGUGAUGUGCCUAAGGUUUCCAUCGUUCAUACCAGUGGUGUUGAUUGAGAAGUUAACUGCAGCCUGCAGAUUCAGUACUCCUAUGAUCCAGAAAGAAGCUUCAUACACAUAAACCACUGGUUGCUGGUACCCUUCUGGUAAGACUUAAUGCACUACAACCCUUAUCUUAUCAUUGUUUUAACUUCCCAAAGGGAGAACGUCGUUUUUGUCAUCCAUCUAACGAUUCUUUGGUUGAAUGAAACCUGGUGACCUAUUCUCAACGUCUUUCAUCUCUUACCCUUAAUGUCUGGUUACUGUUACUGUAAUACGGUCGAGAUUUCGAAUCAAUACUAAUAGAGGGAAAAGUAGAUGUUGUUACAAAAAAGAUAACACCCGACAAAGGUCUUCUAAUACUUAAAUCACGGUUUCUCAACCAAGUGAAAACCUGUCCUAAUCCGUAAAAUGCUGGUGAACUAGUCCGUUUUUCUUGACUUCUAUAACGUGAUUCGAUAAAUUUGCUGAACCAUUUAGUACCAAAAAAAAUUUUAUUAUUUUUUCUUUUACCAGGAGUAAUACAAUAGGUACUGGAUGACGUACUGAACCGCCACUGCCAAAGCAGUAUACUUACAGAAUCGUAUAUAUCCCCAACAAACCUAUGUCCCUUAAUCUACACUCUAAGAUCUUUUGCUCAAAACCCUCCUAAAAAUCCUUUUGGUCAAAACCAAUCAAUAAGACAAUUCCAUUCAUAUGUGUUAUGGAACAAACCUACUCUUUUUAUCUUUUUUGAGCUAAAACUCAAGGAGAGUUUUGUUAAGUACCUCCGUGCCACGAAGCCCAACGAGAACCGUGGAUGUGCGUGUCGCCACCUGUUGGUGUGGCCGGUCUCCCACGCACCGGUAGCGGCCCCGGCGGCCCACCAGCGCGACGAGCGGAAUAGCACGAGACGAAGCAAGCGGCCACAGUGGGUACAACGGAGUCCAAGGGUAGCUUCUCCGUGCAUGUACGUCGAGUGUAUGCCGAUGUGCCGGAUUUCGUGGUACUAACUAAGAGUCCGGCCCGUGCGUACAUCGUCAUCGUGGAUCGAUCGACGACCUAACUAAGCGGCCAUUGUGGUCUCGUGUUGUGUGUACGAUCCCUCCGCGCUGCUGAUGCAUGUUCGACCUCGUAUACCUGCUGCUGCCACCAACACUUCGCCGGCUACUUGUGCUGCCGGCGGCCGGCUUCAGGCGCAGGCGGUACCUCCGAGUCCCGAUCUACCUCGUAGCGUUGGACGAGGCCGACGGACCGGCUCUAGCCGUCGCUACAGAAAACCGAAACAGUUCGACGGCAGUGCCGGCCGCCUCAAAUGGUACUGGUCGUGCAGCCUGAACCAGCUAGAGCACUACGUACAUCUUUUGCGCAAACAUAUUUUUGCAGUUAAUCACCAAAAACAUAUUUGACCCAAAAACUCGAAAACCUUUUGAGUCAAAUCAUAUAGGUGCUCAAUCAAUCUGCUAGGUUUGUUACAAAAUCCAACAAUGUGGUCUUUAGUCCAAAUUCCUUUUGAUCAAGAGAUAUUAGAUCCAUAGGUUUGUUGGGGAAUUGAACGCUUGGUAUGUGUAAGGACGUAGGCACGCAGUGAACAGGUAGUAGCAUCUAUUAUGACUACAGCUUCUAUAUUGGUGAAAAUUUCUUAUGUUGUCAAUAAACUCACGUCAUCAAUUUUCUAACUUUCGAGUCUUGAAUGCGUGAAACUACAACAAACCACUUAUGGUACCUUCGAAACGGUUUUGAAAAUCCCAAAACAAAUUUUUUCGAUCUCGGAAUGUGUGAUAAAAAAAAGACCUAAUAGUAUAAGACACCUACUACACAACGGCCUGAAAAGUCUUGAAGAUGUAGAGGCGAUGGAUUCCUAGUUUAGUCACGUAUUACUCCUGUAUUCGAACGGAUCACACAACAAAUCCAGGAUAGUGAACCUCCAGUAACCAAAUCUUUUAACCCCACCGGCGAAACGAAGUUGUUCAGUUUACUCGUUGGACCAUCAAAAAGCAGUGCCAAGGCACUUAACACCAUCAAAAACCAAUUUAUGAGAAGUCUACCUCUACUGCUGUGGUAGUAUAAAUUCAUUACUGUAACUUUAACUCGUACGUUUUCGUCCCGUGGUAGUCUGUUCUGCCCUCCUCCAUCUUCUACGUCGUCGUCCUCCUCCAGAUGACGAGGACGGAGCCGUUGAUGUCCUCAACCAGUAGAGACCAACGUCUCUCGACGCCAAUGAGAGGCUAAGUGAACAGUUCCUGUCGUGUGUGCCUCCUCCCGAGGUCUCAGAAACGAGGGAGGUUAGCAACGCGUAUAUACUAACGGGGUCCAAGGAGAGCAGGAUAAGUAGGAGGCGGCGUAGAACAAAGGGGAAGGGCUGGAGGGACGUUGUUGAGUACGACCUCCCGCACCUCUCGUACCUCUGCGACCGAGGGGAGAGUUUAGAGUAGAGAGAGUGGCGAAAUAAGCACGCAUUAACACCCCUAGAUUCUCCGCUCCCGAAUACCGGAGAGCAGCGGGUCCCGGCUGAGUGUCCUAAUGAGCAGUGACUUUGGGGGGUUAAGAAGUGACCAAGACUCGGGAGUGCCGGUGUACUGGUUCUCUAAGGAAAGAGAAGUAGGUUUGAGGUUGUAGAGACCUGUCUACUGAACCGUCCUCAGGAAUGGCGCGGGUAUACGUGUGAGGAGAGAAGGAGGGAGUGGUUUAAUUAAAACAUACGGUUGUUUCUCCACCUCGCGAAGUGUCUCUUCGUUCUCCUCCGGGAAGUGGAGGAGUUAAGGGAGGUCCUUGAGUUGAAAACCUUCACAACCUUCGACGUCGCGGAGGGACGUCCCGAUUGGUUCGAACGGUCGGAGUUCUAUAAUGUGUAAACCCCCACAGGUCGGUAGGUUAACGACAGGUUCCUGCCUGAUGGUUCGAGAGACGUUCUUAAUCUCUAGUCUCUGACAGGACGGUAGUUUAGAGACGGGUUCCUGCCGGACGGUUCAAGUGACGCCUUUAAUGUUCAAAGAUUACCGUAGUCGUUCCUCGAAUUUUUCGUCACGGCGUUCAAUUUUCCUUGGUAAGGUUAUUAGUAUCUGAUGUUGUUGCUGCUGAUGAUUGGGUUCCCUAGAAGAAACUAAACAUGUAAGAAGAUCGGAUCGGAACAUCUAGGUCAAGAAAGACGUAGGUUUGUGUCAAGUUUCUCAUAUGAAGAGACAUGUUGAUUAGGUUCUCCAGAAGAACCUGAACAUAUAAGAAGAUCGGAUCGGAACAAACAACAAGGUCAAGAGAGAGAUAGGUUCUUGUCUUCCAAGGUCUAAUAUCGUGGGUAGGUAAUGAUUUGACCGGAGACGGUACCUCAACAUUUUCAAGAAGAUAGGAAUUUCAAAAACGUAUGUGCAUGUCAAGCCUGCGGUACCGGGACCCACCAUAGUGGAUGUAUUUAUACCCUAGACAGAACCUCAACAAGUAAGAAUACCUGAACCUCUUAAGAGAACAAGAACAGUGUUUUUGUCUUUUUUUUUUGUCCUUUCCCUUUUCUCCGUUUUUUUUAUUUUUUUUACUCUUCUUUUUUUUUCUUUUUUUCUUUUUCCUUUUCUUCCCUUUUUCUUUCUUUAUUUUUUAUUUAUUUUUUUCUCUCUCAUUUCGAGAGGUAGACCAGUGAUAAGCGUGUACAAGCACUGAAGAACUAUCCACAAACAGGUCAACAAAAUACAAGAAAGUCAUUUUUCAAUCUUUAUAAUUAACACAUCCAACUAACGGACUAUAAACACAAUGUAUAAACCUUUAGUUAUACCGUCUUCAUCGAGGGUCGUUUUCCUAUUUCCUUUGUUUUUUAACAUUCCCUUUCUUAUGUUUAGGUAAUAUACCCAAAACACACCAUAGAAAUACUUUCUACCAACAUACUAAGAAAAUACGAAAAAUCCUUAACCCUCUUUAUAAUUGACUGAUCUUAAUCAACGGAUUAUCAACAUAGUGAUUAAAUCUCUCCCUCCUCAUGUCCUCGUCCAGACUUAUCACUUCCAUAUCGAGGGGAAACACGACCUAAUUUUUUUAUAUCUCACCCGCUUUAUGUCCUCGUACAGGCUUCUGACUUCCAUAUCGAGGCCAAACACUACGUAAUAACUUCAUACGUGGGACGUGAUACCAUAUCACUCCAAUUAUGUCUAGUUAGAGGAUCCUUCUCUUCAUCCCCGGGUUCGAAACAAACCAAGUUCGUCAAAAAACGGCGACGUGGUCGGUGUGUUUUUACGUGAGGCAUCUACGUCCCAGUAACAAGGUUCGUAAAGACAAGAUUACGGUCUUAAUAAGAACUAGACAUUCGACGUCACUUGGUUUGAGAAGAAGUGGAAUCUGAUCAACUGAGUAGUUGGUCAUUGACGACACUACCUAUAGGUUAGACAGGUUAGGGCAAGUGCAAGUGUGCUACAUUGUACCUCCCAUGACCGUUUUACUAGUCGUAAAAGAAGUCUUUCCUUUUACUACCGGUAGACUGUGUGUUUUUCCCGUUUUCCUUUUUUUUCCUUUUCUUUUCCUUUUUUUUCCUUCUUAUUUAAUACCUUCUUUUGAGAGGUAGCUGGGUGACAAACGUGUGACCUAUCUCUUCACGUCUUCAGCUUCUCCUAACCGCUGCCGGGGGAAGGAGGAGGUGGUUUGGGGUCUGGCUAAGUGGUACAGUACUACCACAGCCCUCCGCUGCCACUACUCACUACCACCGCCGCCUCCCGUACACUAACUAUCGUUACUACGACCAAUGAAGAGUACCUCCUGCGCCGUCCCCGACACCUCCUCGUAUUACUGUAGGGAUCAAACUAACCUCGUAAGAGAGACAAACCAUACGGUAUGGACUUCUUCAACGACGACUACGUUGAACAUAGAGGAUAGGAAAGAUCUGACUCCGGAGACGGUUGAACAUUUGAGAAGUUAUGAACUUCUUGAGGGCCGUAAGUGGGUGACAAACCUGCGGUACCGGAACCCGCCAUAGAGGAGGGACAUGUAUUUAUGCCCUAGACAUAACCUCAACAUGUGAUAGUAUCGGGCCCUCUUGAUAGAGGUAAGAAGAAUGUUUUUUUUCCCCCUUUACACUUUUCUUUCUUUCUUUCUUUCUUUCUUUCUUUCCUUUCCCCUUUUUCUCUUUUUUUACACUUUUUCUCUUUCUUUCUUGUUAUUUUUCCUUUUCCUUUUUUCUUGUUUUUUACACUUUUUUCUCUUUCUUGUCCCUCCCUUGCCUUCAUUUUUUCUUCUCCUUUUGGAAGUAAGUAAGUGGUAAGCUUACACACCACAUAGUUUCCACCAACACGUCAACAAAAUCCAAUAAAGUCCUCUUUUCAUCUUUAUAAUUAUCGCAUCCUAACAAGUGGGUCAUCCACACUAUGUUUAAACCUUUAGUUCUACCGUGAUUAUCGAGGGUAGUUUUAUUUCCUCCGUUUUUCUUUUUUACUCAUUUCUUUUUAGAAGUAGGUAAGACACCCAAAACACACCAUAGAUAUGUUUUCCACCAACGUAUUAACAGAAUACAAGAAAGUUCUUUUAGAUCUCUCACAACUACAUGAUCCUAACCAACGUACUCUAUCAGUACAGUGUUUAAAUCUCUCCCCUCCCUUAUGUCCUCGUUCAGAGUUCCAGAUCGAGGGUAAACACAACCUAGUCACUUCACACGCCGAACGCCGUACAAUUUAACCUCAACCUCAAUUCUUUCUAGUUAGAGGAACCUAACAGACCAUCUACCCCAAAGUAAACAAGAUCCUAAUGAAAACUUGACGUUCACUCGUUUUGGAUAUAAGUCGAAUCUGAUCAAUUCAGUAAGUGGUCCUUAACGACGCUACUUAUACGUUAGUCCGGGUAGGGAAUUUGUGAGUAUACUACAUUGUACCUUCCAUGUUCCCUUUACCACCGGUAAAAGAAGCGUUUUCGUUUUACGACGAGUAGACCAAACGGACUGCAGAAGUCACAAACGUCAAUGAGGCCUUUAGGAUAAUACGACGUGAGAGCGUCGUCUGUAUUUCUACCCCUGUUUUUUUUCUAUUUUCCUUUGUUUUUCCUUGUCUUCAAUAUAAACUUUAUGAGAAGUAGGCCAGUGUAAAUAAAUUCACCCUCCUCACGUCCUGCUUCUCCUAUCAGUGACAGGAGGGAGGUGGUUUAGGGGUUCUCCAAGUAGUACAGUAUCGCCGUAUAACCCUCCAGCCCUCCACCGUCACCACACGCUAUACCCGCCGCCGCUUCACGUACUCUCCCCAUCACUGCUACGAUCGGCAAGCACCACCUACUUACCUGUCCCAACCACCACUUUCUUGUAUUACCGUAGAGCUAUACUAGUUGCAGGAUAAUACGAGUGACACACCGGACAGUAGGAAACUUCUUGGACGUAGGUCACUGUGCCCGAAAGUCUAUGGGAACGGGUAGACCACACGAGCUAGCUUUGUGCAAGUUGUCACGCGAGGAGUUCGGCGACGACCUAGCUUACCCGAAACCAGUCAAGUAGUCCCACCACCGUUAAGCACUACGAAGACCAAGAACGUACCUACCGCCACAAUGCAGACGUUCGAAGAACGCCAAAGUUCAACUUGGACCGGUGGUUCGGGAGGGUUGGGAACUAUUUGAGGUCCACGAUUCGAGUGUCAAAGAUCUAAAAUCUGAACAAAAGCAACGUGCCACCUCCAC